CCCUUAGAUGUUCUGGGCCGCACGCGCGCUACACUGAUGCAUUCAACGAGUCUAAAACCUGCUCUGAUAGGGGUGGGUAAUCUUUUGAAUGUGCAUCGUGAUUGGGAUAGAUGAUUGCAAUUUUUCAUCUUCAACGAGGAAUGCCUAGUAAACGCAAGUCAUCAGCUUGCAUUGAUUACGUCCCUGCCCUUUGUACACACCGCCCGUCGCUCCUACCGAUUGAAUGGUCCGAUGAAUAUCAUGGAUUGAGGAUUAUAGCAGGUUCGCCUGUCUUGAUCUUCGAGAAGUGAAGUAAAUCUUAUCAUUUAGAGGAAGGAGAAGUCGUAACA
RNAcentral lists this ribosomal RNA (329 nucleotides) under uncultured eukaryote. Its description in RNAcentral is "partial 18S ribosomal RNA". It matches the Rfam family "Eukaryotic small subunit ribosomal RNA", at positions 1470 to 1796 of the family's 1831-position model. The record is from RNAcentral.